Molecule: long non-coding RNA, 211 nt
Filed under: Elaeis guineensis (African oil palm)
Lineage: Eukaryota; Viridiplantae; Streptophyta; Magnoliopsida; Arecales; Arecaceae
Description: long non-coding RNA (EGUI_LNC006098)
Source: RNAcentral
GUCAAUUAUUGAAUUAUGCAUUGCACAGACUGUAAAGCACUCUAAUCUCUAUCCAAAAAAUAACUAACCAUCUAGACAAACUUUGCUUUGAUGGGAUUCCAAUUUUCAAGAGAUAGAGAGUAAAACAUUAAAGAUUCGGAUUGUAUCUUUCAUGCAAAAGAAUGAUCAAUCUUUUUUCAUGAGGCCAAUCAUUGGAUUGCAUAUUACACAG